RNAcentral lists this ribosomal RNA (408 nucleotides) under uncultured bacterium. RNAcentral describes it as "partial 16S ribosomal RNA". It matches the Rfam family "Bacterial small subunit ribosomal RNA", at positions 28 to 526 of the family's 1533-position model. The record is from RNAcentral.
GACGAACGCUGGCGGCGUGCCUAAUACAUGCAAGUCGAGCGAAGCGGCGGUUGGGUGAGUAACGCGUGGGUAACCUGGCCUUAAGUCUGGGAUAGCAUUUGAUAACAGAUGCUCCUACCGGAUACUUAAGGAGUGAGCUGUGAUGCAUUAGCUAGUUGGUAAGGUACGGGCUUACCAAGGCGAUGAUGCAUAGCCGGGUUGAGAGGCUGAUCGGCCACAUUGGGACUGAGACACGGCCCAAACUCCUACGGGAGGCAGCAGUAGGGAAUCUUCCACAAUGGACGAAAGUCUGAUGGAGCAACGCCGCGUGAGUGAAGAAGGUUUUCGGAUCGUAAAGCUCUGUUGUUGGUGAAGCGGUAAUCAACCAGAAAGUCACGGCUAACUACGUGCCAGCAGCCGCGGUAAUUC